AGCGUAUAUUAAAGUUGUUGCAGUUAAAAAGCUCGUAGUUGAAUUUCGGGAUUAUCACGCUGGUCGUGCCUUCGGUACGUACUGGCGUUACUGAUUCCUCCCUUCUGACGAACCGUCAUGUCAUUAAUUUGAUGUGGCGGGGAAUCAGGACUGUUACUUUGAAAAAAUUAGAGUGUUUAAAGCAGGCA
This 188-nucleotide ribosomal RNA is filed under the name uncultured Glomus. Its description in RNAcentral is "partial 18S ribosomal RNA". It matches the Rfam family "Eukaryotic small subunit ribosomal RNA", at positions 596 to 786 of the family's 1831-position model. The record is from RNAcentral. Lineage: Eukaryota; Fungi; Glomeromycota; Glomeromycetes; Glomerales; Glomeraceae.